RNAcentral lists this ribosomal RNA (273 nucleotides) under uncultured bacterium. RNAcentral's name for it is "partial small subunit ribosomal RNA". It matches the Rfam family "Bacterial small subunit ribosomal RNA", at positions 26 to 282 of the family's 1533-position model. The record is from RNAcentral.
AGAAUCAACGCUGGCGGCGUGCCUCAGACAUGCAAGUCGAACGCGAAAGUCCCCUUCGGGGGCGAAGUAGAGUGGCGCACGGGUGAGUAACACGUAGGUAAUCUACCUUUGGAUGGGGAAUAACAACCGGAAACGGUUGCUAAUACCGCAUAAUGCAGCGGCACCUAAUGGUGACAGUUGUUAAAGCGGGGAGUCGAAAGACCUCGCGUCUAAAGAGGAGCCUGCGGCGGAUUAGCUAGUUGGUAAGGUAAUGGCUUACCAAGGCUACGAUCC